This 240-nucleotide unclassified non-coding RNA is filed under the name soil metagenome. RNAcentral's name for it is "partial contains 5.8S ribosomal RNA, internal transcribed spacer 2, and large subunit ribosomal RNA". The record is from RNAcentral.
AACCAUAGAAACCUGCGGAGUACCUGCGGAAGGAUCAUUACAGAGUUGCAAAACUCCCAACCCUUUGUGAAUCCUACCUGUUUAGUUGCUUCGGCAGGCAGCCCCAGGGCGGGGUCUUUUGCUUGUUUACAGGCGUCUGCCGAAGGAUUUUAAAACUCUUUAAUGCUUUCUGUGGCUCUGAGUUAAAAAGACAAAAUAAGUCAAAACUUUCAGCAACGGAUCUCAGAUCGGAAGAGCACA